GGGUGGGCGGCGACGUAGGAGAGUCGCACCGGUCUCCAACACCGGGCCGACUGAUCAUCGGCACAAGGGGGUUCGAAUCCCUCACCACCCGC
This 92-nucleotide transfer RNA is filed under the name Streptomyces phage Shady. Its description in RNAcentral is "tRNA-Trp". The record is from RNAcentral. Lineage: Duplodnaviria; Heunggongvirae; Uroviricota; Caudoviricetes; Colingsworthviridae.